Molecule: ribosomal RNA, 247 nt
Filed under: Melanoides tuberculata
Lineage: Eukaryota; Metazoa; Mollusca; Gastropoda; Thiaridae
Description: partial 12S ribosomal RNA
Source: RNAcentral
AACUCAAAGGACUUGGCGGUGCUUUAGACUUCUCAGGGGAACCUGUUUCAUAAUCGAUAGUCCCGUUACACCUUUCCCUUUAUUGAAAACCAGUAUGUAUACCGUCGUCGUCAGGUAACUUUUAAAAAUAAGGAAGUUAGCUACAAAAUUAUUUAUGAAUUUCAACGUCAGAUCAAGGUGCAGCCUAUAAAAGGGAGAGAAUGGGUUACAAUUAAAAGUUAUAAGUAUGAAAAAAAAUCUGAAAUUU